UCAACUCAUUGUUUGUGGAGGCACUGCUUGUUAGUGCAAAGAAUCCCUUCCAAGUCACUGAGUAGCUGUACAGAAAAUCAGAGGGCCGCUGCUUAAUGAUCUCGGCCAUCAGGCUCUUCCAUGCCUGCUGACAGAAAAGGGGGAACCUGACACUGCCCUGGGCCUGUGGGGCUCCUCCCCGCCUCCGUCUUCUGGAGGCACAGCCCACGAGAACCUUCCAGAACACACUGGAGCCCGGCACCGUGGAACUGUUCAGCUAGGCUCUGGCUUGUUUGGAAUUUCAUCUGACUUGAAGGGGCCCGUGGACUCAGAGGAAUUUGGGUCUCAACACAGUCCCGGUGGGAUUUACCCCAGACCGAGGAAUGCUUGUUUUACUCCUGGAUCUGCUACACACUAAAUUCGGGACUUUCCUCCCUUCUCUACACUUUAGUUUCUUUUUAUGUAUGUGGAACAGGAGUAUUAGACACUCUGCGAUUUUAUCAGAAAGGAUUUUACAAUGGUUAUACUGUGAUUUCUCCUUUUCCCUGAGUACAUCUCCUCCUGGCUGAGAGUUCCUGGAGGGGGAAUGACAGCUAACACAUUUCUGAAUCCUUGGUCUUAAGCAUGGUAUUUGGUUCAUGGACACACAAGGUGUCUAGUAGACGUCUGUUAAAAGGACACAUGAAUGAAUGAAUGAAUGAAUGAGGUUUGAGUUGGUGUGCUGUGCUUGGUCUGACAAUGAUAUCAACAGGAAGCUUCACUUCAUCAUCAUCAAUAAUAAAAAGCCUCCAGAAGGGAACACUGCCCUGACGACACUGAUUUUAGCUCAGUGAGAUCCAUUUUGGACUUCUGACCUCCAGGAUUAUACAGUCUCUUCAAUUCUGCCCAAGAGAUUUGGCCUGAAAAGAUUGUGCCUUCAACCUCAUCCUGGAAAUUCAGGUAGCAUUUUUCGGUUUUCUCUCUCAGGAGACAGAAGCUGACACCCCACAUGACUCCCAUCUUGUCUGUAAUCAGCAACCAGGGCUUUGACCUGCACUGUCCUCCUUUCCAGCAGCAGAAAGGGGUCAAACUGAGCCAGGUCUAGUAAGAGCUAUCUCAGAGAACCAGAACACGGAUUUGCUUUUGUUCUCUCAGGACAGCAAACCCAAGGGAGGGCAGACUCAGGCUCACAUCCCACUCACACGGCCCUGAGUGUGGACUGGGAGCAAGACGCUGCUUCAAAUUUCAGCCUGCCAGCUGUGUGUCCACAGGCAGCUAACAAACAUCUCUCAUCCAGCCACAGCCUCACCCAGAGAAGAGUAACCGACCCAACCUUAUAGCGUUGCUGUGAAGUCAGUUAACAUAGGGCUGAAGUUUGCUGUGAAGUCACAGCAACCCUAUGUUAUGGUUAACUUCAUUUAACAUAGGGUUAAUGUAGGUUUAAUAUGAGGGGCUAACAAUUACAUAUAAAUGUUAGCUACUGUAAUUGUCAGAUGCAUGGCCACUGGUGCCAAAGGAACCACUCUGAAAAUUCUGGAGGUUUUCAAGACUCUGGGGAUUCAGAAAUGGAGGAAGAAAAGAAGCUGCUGCAGGAACAGUGCAGGGAAGCUAGAAGGGAACAGGGUGGCAGCCCCAGCUCAAAAGGUCUUCCCUCUCAAGGGCACCACCUGAAACGUAUAAGGUUGCCUGAAAUUCCACAGAUUAGACAUUUAGUUUUGCUUCUUUACAACAAUAUAUCUCAAAGAGAACUGGCUGGUUAAACAUUAUUCAUACAUCUGUGUGAACUGGUUUAUUUGCUCUCUUCCUAAUACCUACACACUUAGAAACUCCAGGGAGCAAAGAGCUUGGGUCUGAGUUAGGGACUAGGAAAGGAACAGAAAGUAAUAACUUAGAGUCAUGAAGCACUGUCCAAGACAUGGCCAGCUGUUCAGACUCUGAGAGCCCCAGUUCAAUUCACUGGCUGGCCUGCAGACAGCCUGCCUGGCUCAUGAGAAGGGAGGAGUGGGGAGUCAGGACCUGGAGGUCCUGAGGUGCUUUUCUGAUGUUGGUACUUUCACGUUGCCCACUCAUAAAAUACCCUUUGUAAAUGGCUUCUGGGACUCCCUCCUCUCUGGGAGUGCCUCCUUCGUGAGCUCUGCAUAUGGGUGGCCCAGAGAGCAGGCCCCAGCUGUUGCCUCUCCUCAGACAUUCCAUCCCUAUGACCUCAUCCAGGUGCGGGCUUGAGUCACCACUCCACUACAGACUCUCUUGAUUUGGAUAUUCAGUUGCCUACUUGACAUCUCCCUUUCAAGUACCUCAAACAAAACGCUCCAUGUGCCCUUACCCCUACCCCCUGCCACCCAAAACAAUCCAAACAAAAACUCCAUCAGCCUGGUCUCCAUGGACAUGUUCUUGAUGCAGUCAACCUUUCAGGACUAUUGACGUUUCUCUUUGUACCUUGUACUUUUCUUUCACAGCCCUUAGGACAAUGUAUAAUCACUUACUUAUUUUCAUAUUGACUUGUGUAAUACCUGUUUCCCAAUAGACUGUAAAAUUCAUGAGAAUGAGACCAGGUGGUUUGUCUCCUGUUCUUCCCCACACCCUAACUGGCACACAGUAGGUCCUCACUAUGUAUUUGUUGAAUGGAUAGUAUUAAAGUGAAGAUGGGUCCUAGGGUGAGGAAGAGUUUCUGGGCACAAAGAAAGGCCAUGAAACCUGGCAAAAAAUACAUAUGAGCUCAUAUCUUGUUUUCCUGAGGAGCUAUUUGGUUUCUUCCUCCUCCUAUUUGAUGAAGUUAUAUGUUUAAUUAAAGCCCUGAACAGUUAGAACAAAUGUAUAGGAAAUGAUCACAUGAUCAUGAACUUAGCAAACAGCUACAAGCUUAACUGUCUAAUAUGGGGAGUGCCUAAAUGAUAUGUAUCAAUAUGGUUGACUCUCAGUUAUCCAUUCCAGUGGAUAAUCUAAUAGCCAGUAAUCUAAUAGUUCAUAAUUUACUUGCCUAUAAUCCCAUAAGUUUUACAUGUGGCUUUGGAUUAUGUUUUGGAAUUUGCACCAGGGUAUGGGGGCUCUGAUGGUUUAGGAAUUCACAGUACUUUGAGCAUAUAUGUCCUAUGUCACUACCCCAGUUGCCCAUUAAGGAUUCCUCUGGGUUCCAACUGCAUGUGGAAAAAAUACUGCAUUGUGCUUAGGAGGAAAGUGCAUUGGUCUUUGUUUGUUUGUUUGUUUGUUUUGUUUUGGCUGUAAAAAUUGGGGUCCAAACCCCAGCUCUUGCAUUUACUAACUAGCUCUGUUUUCACACUACUUGUCCCCGUCUAAACCACUCCCUCAGGCAGGUGCAAAACAAGGCGAAAGCAGAGUUAAGCUCCUUAUGAACUUUCUGUUUUACAUCUAGGCAAAGAAACGUUCUCUCUUCUCCUUUUUUUCUCUUUUUCUUUCUGCCUUAGAAGACCUUCUCUUCCAGCUCAGUGGGAUGAAGUCAACAAGGUCUUUGCUUUACAAAAUCAUGCCUGAUUGGGAAAGAUCCUGAAAAUGUCUAGACAAAUCUGAAAGAAAAAUGCUGUCCUGGGCAAUCUAAUACAGAAAACUGACUCUGGGCUUUCCCUGGGCUCCACUGGUCCCACCAAUGGUGCAAAUGACGGUGACUUUCUCCACGUUCUACAUACAUCUGGGCAUUUGCUCAUGCUGUCUUGGGUCAAAGUCUCAAGUUGGAAAAUGGAUUCAUCCUGAGAUCCAAGGCAGAACCAGUCGUGUUGUCAGUGGGUAGCUGAGACCCCAAAAUUCCCACCUCUUUUCCUGUCAUGAAGUUUCUAUCUCGAGAGAAAACAGCUGUCCAUUCUUAGGCCAACUGGGACUGAAGCCAGCUGUUCCUUCCAGAUGCCAAGAGUCAGAUGCACGCCCACUCUUUUCUCCUAUUCCCUAAGGCUGAAGUCUCAAACUUUAUUGAAUUUAUUAAUAACCUCAGGGACUUGCUAAAAAGCAUUUCCCCAGGCUCUACCUCCAGAGAAUCUGAUUCAGUUAAUUCAGGUUGGCCAGGAAAUCUGCAUGUUAAAUAACAACCCUCCUGCCCCACCUCAUUUCUGAUCUCUAGGAAAUUCCUAUGUAAUUGGUCUGAGAAUCAUACUUUGAGUGACAAUAGCCACAGUGGAGGCACUGGUGUGCCGGUAAAUGUUUAACAACUGGCUCUGGAGGUGGAAAAGCCUGGUUUGUAGCUUGCUGAUUUCUGUGGUAUAAAUAUUCCCACCUUGGUCAACUCAAGCUACAAAUAUGACAUCAUGAUUGUGAAGUUGGGAAAAGGUUUGUGCAAUCAGUUCUGAUAAGCCCAUAGUAACUGAUUUCAGCAUGCCCACUGGGUGGAAGUGGCCGGAUGCCUCCAAAUGCUGGUUCCUAGGCUCUGGCAUAGAAGGGCCACUGUUUGGUCCAGAAUGUCACAUCCCCUAAUUUUUUUUCCCUAAAUCCUUCGUUUUUUGAAUGGUUUGUUUUGGUUACUGGCUCUCGGAGACCUUGAGGGGUUCCAAGCCAGAGAACAAAGAAGGGGAAGAGAAGGAGCUCCAAGAAAGAAAAUGCAAUUAGUGUAGGAUGUUGGCCUCAGCUACGCUGCUAACCUUGUUCAACCCAGCUUUCAGCAGGGAAGGGGUUUCAAACACCUGUCUCUGCCUUCAUUUGAUAAGCUUUCUGGUCAAGUCACAUUAACCUGAUCCUGCUGACCUGGAGAAGGAUGAAAAGGCUGAGUGUCGGGGACCUGAGGGGAUGAAAGUGGAUGGGGGAGGCCUGGGGGGGGGGCUCAUAUGACCUGGGGUCACCAUCGGCUUAAGGCUUCCCCUUUGUCUCCCUGCUCUGGCCCCAUGUUUGAAGGUUCUGGUGAUUUCCUCCCGCCCCCCGACUAGGCGAACAGAUGUGGAAAGAUCUCCAGUUCCCAGGGCUCAGGACACAACUGCCUGUUGUUUCCCGCCUGCAGACCGGGGCCUGCAGUCACAGGCAGAACAGCUACGCAAUCACUUGCCAAAGAGCUGAGCCCAGUCAGGUGUGGGGUGCAAGCCUACUCUGCCUUUUGGGAGUGAGAGGAUGUGUAAGCCUAGCUGAACAAGAAUGGAAAACAACCAUGUUCCCGCCCUGUUGUGCUCUAAGUUCACUGUGUAGGAAUUCAGAGGCACUUUAGCAGAGGCAAUGACUUGAGCUCUUCCACGGCAAUACAAUGCUCACAGGUGCCAUGACCAUUUGAACAAACGCUGCCUUCUGGGCCAGCUGCUUCUCUUGUCCCACACUGCAGGUACUGCCAACGUGAGAACUUUGCCCACUUCUAGACUGGAGUUGAGGGCACCCUGCUACUCUAAAAAGGAUGUUUUCCUCAGCCCACUGAGCUUUCAGGGCUCACUAGAUCAAGGCGGUAGAAGAGUUACAAAGGAAGGGGUGCAAGUGUUAGCUUCCUUAUGUACCUUAUUUAUUCAACACUGAUAGUUUCAGAAAUGGCUUAGAGCCUAGCUUCCUCACCAAUAUCCAUAUACCUUUGACAAGUGGGACAAAUAAAAGCAUAAAAAUAUCUCCCUUAAAUAAAACGCCUUUCUCAUAUCUAGUCCAUCUACAAGAAUAAGCUGAUACCUAAUGAUAUGUUUUCUAGUUUAUGCAAUAAAUGGUGGUGAUUACAAUUUUGCACAAAGACCUGGUACAUAUACGUCUUAGCAUGUAGCACAUUUACCUGUAAAUGCUACAAGUAGCAGAAUGACAGCCAUCUCCCUAAAGCACUGAUUCUCCAAGUGAGGUCUGCAGUCCCCUGGGAUCCCUGAGACCCUAUCAGGGUGUCUGCAAGCUCAAAAUUAUUUUCAUAAUUUUGAUAAUAUUUCAUAAUAAUACCAAGAUGUUAUUUGCCUUCUUCACUGUGUUGACAUCUGGGUAAAAUUGCUGGUGCUAGACUAUGCUGGCAGUCACGGCAUUCUUCACUGCUACAAACUUACAGGGGGAAUAAAUGCCAGUUUCACCAAAGAAUGUCCUAAAUUAGACAGUAAAAAUUAUUAAUUUUAUAAAACCUUGCCCAAAAGGUACUUUUUCUCUCCUCCCCUCCUCUCCCCUCUCUGCCUCCCUUCCCCUUCCCCUUCCCUUUCCUUUCCUUCCCUUCCCUUCCCUUUCUUUUCUUUGUGUGAUGACUUGGAAACAAAGUAUCAAGCAUUUCUGGUGCAUCCUGAAGUAUGAUGGUCAUCUGGAGGAAAAGCACUUGUGUGAGUGUCCUGAGUUGUGAUCUGCACUAGUCACUUUCAUGGAACACAAUGUUUACUCAAAAGGACCAAAUAACCAUAGUUAUUCAGAUUUGGUUAUUUGACAGGCAUUUUCUCAAAAAUGAACAAACUGAGCUCAUCACUUCAAGAAAGACAAUAAUUAACAGUAUUUUCUGCCAAAAUAGAAGUAUAAAGCAAAAAUUAGAAUUUUUAGAAACCUGUAUCUGCCAUAGUGAACUUAACACCUUCCCAACACUUACAGAGGUUUUUGAUGAGAUCAGUGAUAUUAACAAAUAAGAACUUUUAGUUUUCAUCAAGAAAUAUAUCAAAUUUGAAAAAUCUGCAUGACUUAGUGAAGCAAUAUUUUCCAAAUGACCCAUGCAUAUUAUUUCAAAAUCAUGCAUGAGCAAAAGAUCUAUUCAGAGUACAAGCCAGAUAACUGAAUUUUAACAUAACUGAGCACAAAAAGUUCAUUGAUAUAGUUUCAGAUUCCACAUUGCAACUAACCUUAGUAAUCUACUAUUGGUUGAGUUUUGGUAUAAUGUCAAAGAAGAAUAUUCACAAUUAUCUGAAAAGACUAUUAAAAUAUUCCUCCCUUUUCCAACAAAAUAACUACGUGAGGCUGGGUUUCCUUCGCAUACUUUAUCCAAAACAACAUUAUCACAGCUGAUUGAAUGCAGAAGCCGAUAUGAGAAUCCAGCUGUCUUCUAUUAAGCCGGACAGUCAAGAGAUUUGCAAAAAUGUAAAACACUGUCACUCUUCUCACUUGGAUUUUUUAAAAAAGUUAUUUUUAUAAUAAAAUGUUAUUUUUAACGUUUAAAUGGAUUAAUGAAUAUAUGCAUUUUAAUAAAUUACUAAAUGUUAAUUUAUUCAUUAACAAUGAAUAAAUAUUAAAUGAACAAAUAUUAUUUUUGGUUUUAGUUUUUAAUAUGGUAAAUUAUUUAAUUAUCUAUUGCUGUAUAGCAAAGUAUCCUAAAACCUAGUGGCUUAAAACAACAAUAAUCACUUGAGUUGCCAGCCUAAAGAAAUGGGUCCAGCUUCCGGGCAGGGCGUGGUGGCUCACGCCCGUAAUCCUAGCACUUUGGGAGGCCGAGGUGGGCGGACCACAAGGUCAGGAGAUCGAGACCAUCCUGGCUAACAUGGUGAAACCCCGUCUCUACUAAAAAUACAAAAAAUUACCCGGGCAUGGUGGUGGGUGCCUGUGGUCCCAGCUACUCGGGAGGCUGAGGCAGGAGAAUGGCAUGAACCUGGGAGGCAGAGCUUGCAGUGAGCCGAGAUCAUGCCACUGCACUCCAGCACUCCAGCCUGGGCGACAGAGUGAGACUCUGUCUCAAAAAAAAAAAAAAAAAGAAAAGAAAAGAAAGAAAGAAAGAAAGAAAUUGGUUCACCUGGGUGGCUCAUACCUGUAAUCCCAUCACUUUGGGAGGCUGAGGUGAGAUGAUCAUUUGAGGCCAGGAGUUUAAAACAAGCCUGGGCAACAUAGCGAGACCCCAUCUCUAAAAGAAAAAAAAAAAAGCCAGGAAUGGUGGUGCACACCUGUAGUCCUAGCAACUUGAGAGACUGAGGCUGAAAGAUCACUUAAUCCCAGGAGGUUGAGGCUACAGUGAAUUGUGAUUGCACCACUGCACUCCAGCCUGGAUGACAGAGGGAGACCCUAUCUCUCUAAAAAAAAAAAAAAAAAAAAGAAGAAGAAGAAGAAAGGAAGAAAAGAAAUUAUUGGUCCAUAUGUCUGAAAUGUCUUUGCUGUCUAUCUUUGUCCCGUUGCUCAUAGUUAGACCAUCAUUUAGGCAACUUCUUGCUCACUUACCCUCCACAAGCUUGGACACAGGUCCUUCUAGCUCUGUUUCUUCUGAACUUGAGAUUACUGGAGACUCCCUUAUGAGUUUUAACACUCCCCAUAACCUUUGUAUGAUUUGUACAUAGAAAAUACCCCCAAAAUUAAAAAUAAAUUAUUAAACUAAAGGAAAGGUUAGUAAGAUUGCUGGACAUAAAAUUAAUAUUUGAAAAUAAAUUAUAUUCCAAUAAGAUACACAAAUGGCCAACAAGCACAUAAGAAAUAUCUUUAGUAUCACCUGCUCUCUGCAGCUCCCAGGCACACCUCCCCAGGAGCAGAGGUUUUCUGGGCUAGGUCAGGCCCUCCCAUUACCUGCUUUGUAGAAGACAGGGAAGAAAAUCACUCACUGUAUGUAAUUUUAUUUAAGAGAGUGCAAGAAUGUCGUGUUUGAGCCUUUCACUCUUUUUUCUUUGUAUUUCUUAUCGGAAAUGAAAGAAAACAGCCAGUGAGAUAGGAUCUCAGGUCUAGAAUUCCUAGCAGGUAAUUUGGGAGUUGAAAACAAAUCUCCCCUGAAAUGCAUUAAGCAGGUGAAGGGGAUUCCAGUUUCAACUCUGAAACCACACCUUAUCCUGGCCUGGCAAAUAACUUCCUUCCAGCCCCAGGCAAAUCCCAACUUCCACCCGCCAAAUGCCUGCAGUUAAUAAACGUUUAAGCAACAACAAAAACCCCAAGUGGAAAAUGGAAGACUGAUUCGAGGCUGAGAUACUAGAAGGGCUGCCUGGGAGCCCCUCUCUGAGAGCCGCGCCCACAGGAGGAACUUUUAGCCAGGGAAGCCGGGGCCUGGAGCUGGGGAACCCAAGGCAUGAUGUCUUUCAGAGCGUCAGAGCAGGGUAAAUAUCUGAUUUGAGUCAAAUGAUUAUUUUUCUUGAUCAGAUUUGUCCACUUGUUUCAUUGGAACUCCAUACCACUAGCCAUGGUCAAACCCUUCAAAAUGGCCAAAAUCUCCAGACUGCAUUAUUGGGCCACAGUAGGUCCUGCUUCCUGCUAAGUGCUGCAAGACUGGAGUUUCCAAGCUCUGGUCUAGAUAGGUCAGCUGAGGGUUGGUAAGGAAGUUCUCAUGGGUCCAGAGAGAACUAAGAAAAAAAGGAUCAUGUUAUGCUGUGGAAAUGUGCUCCGCGGUAAUUUUUAUUCCCAUUUUACAUAUCAGAAAACAGAGGCUCAGAGACGUUGAAUGACUUGCCACAUAGCUAGUCAGUAGCAGAGCGAGGAUGGAGAUUCACAUGAUCAAUCACAGUGACCACCGUUUGCUGAGCACCUGUAGUGAGACAGGCAAACACCUUGUGCUUUGUGUGUGUUAACUUGUUCAGUUCUCGUGGAUUGCUUCCUUUUUAAAGAAAUGAAACUGUUCAACAGAGCUUCCUGCCAUAAGGGAAAUCUUCUACAUCUCACGUCCAAUAGAUAGCCACAAGCCCCAUGUUGCUAUUCAGCCCUUGAAAUGUGGUAAGUGAAACUGAGGAACAAAAUUUUAAAAUUUUAUUUCACUUAAAUUGAUUUAAAUGUGAACAGCCACAUGUGGCUGGCAGCUCUGGGAGGUUCAGUAGCUUUUCCAAAAGCCAGCGAAGUGAUGAGGUGAGGGUUGUGUUGUGGGGCUGAUUGAGCCCCAAAUCCAUGUGUUUCCCCCUUUCUCUCUGCUCCCCUGUGAGGUGGCCUGCCUUUUCCAAAGUAAAAGACACUGGGAAGGAAACUGACCAGACAGUAUACAGUCAGCCAAAAAUAAAGCCAGACCCCAAAGGUGGGGUCUGUAUUUGAGUCUGCUUCUUCCGAAUGUGUCUGGAAGCCCCCAUGGGUGGCCAAACAGCCCAGCUGGGGGCUUCAGACCCUGCACCAGUAACUUCCCAGAGCCCACCAUGGCCCAUUUGGCUGGGGCUUAUAUGACUCACAGGUUCCAACCCUACAAUUUAAACUGCAGCAUUUCCUUUUUCUGGGCUUAACACUAAUUGGUAGAGGUAGUGAGCUCCCAGGCCCAGCCUCACCCUGUCGAAACAUGUAGCUCUCAACAGUUCCCACUGGAAGCACCACCCAUGAGGUGCAGCUACCAUUGCCAUGUGUCUGAAUGCCAGUGUUUAACCCAAGCUGGCCCAUUGUUGUUCCAUGAGCCUCUCUAUAGCCUCUGAAUGUUCAUCUUU
Molecule: long non-coding RNA, 10103 nt
Filed under: Homo sapiens (human)
Lineage: Eukaryota; Metazoa; Chordata; Mammalia; Primates; Hominidae
Description: HSALNT0212501
Source: RNAcentral